Molecule: ribosomal RNA, 273 nt
Filed under: uncultured bacterium
Lineage: Bacteria
Description: partial 16S ribosomal RNA
Rfam family: Bacterial small subunit ribosomal RNA
Source: RNAcentral
UACGUAGGGUGCAAGCGUUGUCCGGAAUUACUGGGUGUAAAGGGUCCGCAGGCGGGUAAGCAAGUCGGUGGUGAAAUCCUGCAGCUUAACUGCAGAACUGCCUCCGAUACUGUUUAUCUUGAGUUCGAGAGAGGAUGAUAGAAUUCAUGGUGUAGCGGUGAAAUGCGUAGAUAUCAUGAAGAAUACCGGUUGCGAAGGCGGUCAUCUGGCUCGAUACUGACGCUCAGGGACGAAAGCGUGGGGAGCAAACAGGAUUAGAUACCCCCGUAGUCC